AUUGAACGCUGGCGGCAUGCCUUACACAUGCAAGUCGAACGUGAAAGCGGGGCAACCCGCAAGUAGAGUGGCGGACGGGUGAGUAAUACAUCGGAACGUGUCCAGUAAUGGGGGAUAACCUAGCGAAAGUUAGGCUAAUACCGCAUACGAUCUACGGAUGAAAGCGGGGGAUGCGGCACUAAAGGCUUUUGGCGAAGGUGGCCAAAGGUGAGUCAAGAGCUUUUAGUGCUGCACCUCGCGUUAUUGGAGCGGCUGAUGUCUGAUUAGCUAGUUGGUGAGGUAAAGGCUUACCAAGGCGACGAUCAGUAGCUGGUCUGAGAGGACGGCCAGCCACACUGGGACUGAGACACGGCCCAGACUCCUACGGGAGGCAGCAGUGGGGAAUUUUGGACAAUGGGGGCAACCCUGAUCCAGCCAUGCCGCGUGAGUGAAGAAGGCC
This 439-nucleotide ribosomal RNA is filed under the name uncultured bacterium. Its description in RNAcentral is "bacterial SSU rRNA". It matches the Rfam family "Bacterial small subunit ribosomal RNA", at positions 30 to 416 of the family's 1533-position model. The record is from RNAcentral.